CCGUCUUCAAAGUCCAACCACAACUCCUCCUUCCCCCGCCGUCUUUUAUGCCGACGCAUCCUACCCUCCUCUUGAAACAGGCCCGCACAAAUCCUUCCUCCCUCGCAUGUCCGUCGUCGCCGCCGCCGCCGCCAGCACCGGCCACCUCACCCCAGGCGCGGGACAGAUCUAGGAAUCAGGAGGGGAUGGACGGAGUAUGGCGAACAGACCGACGGGAUGUGCUCUCUCCUCCCGCUACCAAGGCCCGUGGGCGGGGCGCCCGACCUCUAGACGACGCCGGCGAUAACCAAGGACGGAUGUGCAUCCUGGCAUCUCAGCUCAAGAUGUGUCCAAUUCAUCUCUCCGUGAAGAGGAUUAGCUCCACGACGCCCGCGCCGAACAGCCGAUCAGGAAACCAUCUCCGCCUCCCUGCUUCUUCCCUUCUCUCUGGUUAUCCUGAGAUGGCCCGGCUAGGUGCCGGCCCGACGACACCUCCCCCGCCCAGGCCCUCCAUCGGCUCAAGAUCCGGGCCCCGCCGUGUUGCCGCUCCCAUCUCCCUGCAUCUUCCCGAGAUGGUCCGGCUGGGCGCUGCCCCAUGACCAAGCAUGUGCUGUCCAAGGAAGCCGGCUCCUCCACCCAAGCCUUCCUCUGCAAGGUCGGUGAGGACACCCUUCGUAUGAACCGAUCGUGAUAAUCAUGCACAGGUACACACAUUGACACAUACUCCCUCCGUCCGAAAAUACUUGUCUAGAAUAUCUCGACAAGUAUUUUCGGACGGAGGGAGUACAUGUUUUCCCCACUGAUUUAAUUCGAAUUCAGUUGUCCGUCUCCAUCUCCAAACGGAGCAGAGCCGUCCAGCACACAACGUGAUUUGCAGAUCUAAGGAGGAGGGUGAGGAGGCCGCUGGUGGGUAGGAUGAACAUCGCAGGGAACGAGCAUGCUAGCCGCCCGUCUCGACGUUAUAGAAUCUGAUAAUCUUCUUUUGGUUUUCUUAUAUGUCUGCAGUGGCACUAUGGUGGAUUGGAAUCAUGCCAUGAAGCAGAAGAAGAGGAGGUUUGUUCGCCAUCAAGCCAACCUUGCACUGCUGCACCACGUCUCGCAACAGUUAAGCUAGCUGUUUGUCCUCAAGCUAUUCUGUCUUCUAAUUGUAAGUGGCAAAUCGUAGAAGUGAAGUCCAUCAACAGCAUGGAUGAAAACAAGCUCUGGUAUAAAAUAAGUGAACAGGGACUGUUUUAGCCGUUCCAGAGGCUGUACGCACAUAUAAAUACUCAAGUACUCCCUUGACCGAAGCCCCAGCCCAAUUGCGUCAUUUCGUCCGUGCUCGACAUUGGUGUCUUGCCGUUCUGCCGGAGCCGUGGAAAUCUCACUGUUCUGCCAACCUGGCCGGAAUUUCUCCGUAGUGCCGACUUCAUUGGAAUUACAUCCACUCGUGUAGCCAAGGUACAUCGUUCAAACUGCUCGAGCAAUACUGAUUUGGAGUUGUUUUGGUCAAGCGGUUGAACUGAACCAUGCUACUGCACAGUAGCCAAAAAGAGAGUCAGUUUGUUUCCCUGACCCCUGUGAUCUGAAGCGGCUAAACUGAACAUGCUAUUACACAAUAGCCCAAAAUUGUCUGGUAGAUAUCAGUAUCAUCAUAUAAUUUUGUUUCUACAAUAUGUAAUAGGUAACCAGCAAUGUUGUUUUUAGUUUACAAGAAUGCUGAUGUUGUUUCAAUGCAUAUAUACUUACUGGAAUUAGUUUGAAUACAUAUACAACACCUUGAUUUUGAA
Triticum dicoccoides is the source of this 1748-nucleotide long non-coding RNA. RefSeq lists it as uncharacterized. NCBI's taxonomy places the organism in Eukaryota, Viridiplantae, Streptophyta, Magnoliopsida, Poales, Poaceae. The transcript is spliced from 2 exons. The record is from RefSeq and is a predicted model, not a curated record.